This 492-nucleotide ribosomal RNA is filed under the name uncultured bacterium. Its description in RNAcentral is "partial 16S ribosomal RNA". It matches the Rfam family "Bacterial small subunit ribosomal RNA", at positions 29 to 507 of the family's 1533-position model. The record is from RNAcentral.
AGUGAACGCUGGCGGUAGGCCUAACACAUGCAAGUCGAACGGCAGCACAGUAAGAGCUUGCUCUUACGGGUGGCGAGUGGCGGACGGGUGAGGAAUACAUCGGAAUCUACUUUUUCGUGGGGGAUAACGUAGGGAAACUUACGCUAAUACCGCAUACGACCUACGGGUGAAAGCAGGGGAUCUUCGGACCUUGCGCGAUUGAAUGGGCCGAUGUCGGAUUAGCUAGUUGGCGGGGUAAAGGCCCACCAAGGCGACGAUCCGUAGCUGGUCUGAGAGGAUGAUCAGCCACACUGGAACUGAGACACGGUCCAGACUCCUACGGGAGGCAGCAGUGGGGAAUAUUGGACAAUGGGCGAAAGCCUGAUCCAGCCAUACCGCGUGGGUGAAGAAGGUCUUCGGGUUGUAAAGCCCUUUUAUUGGGAAAGAAAAGCAGCAGGUUAAUACCCCGCUGUUCUGACGGUACCCAAAGAAUAAGCACCGGCUAACUUCGUG